RNAcentral lists this non-coding RNA (100 nucleotides) under Aurantiochytrium limacinum. The record is from RNAcentral. Lineage: Eukaryota; Bigyra; Thraustochytrida; Thraustochytriidae.
AAAAACAAAAAAAAAACAAAAAAAACUAUCUUACUCAUUUCCUUGUUUUGUUUUGCUUUCGCUUUUGUCUCUCUCUAGAGCUAGAAUUGGAAUGAAAACU